GACGAACGCUGGCGGCGUGCCUAACACAUGCAAGUCGAGCGGAGAUCAUAGCAAUGUGAUCUUAGCGGCGGACGGGUGAGUAACGCGUGGGCAACCUACCUCAAACUGGGGGAUAACACAGGGAAACUUGUGCUAAUACCGCAUAAUAUCAUGAGAAGACAUCUUUUUAUGAUCAAAGGAGCAAUCCGGUGAGAGAUGGGCCCGCGUCCAAUUAGCUAGUUGGUGAGGUAACGGCCCACCAAGGCGACGAUUGGUAGCCGAACUGAGAGGUUGAUCGGCCACAUUGGGACUGAGACACGGCCCAGACUCCUACGGGAGGCAGCAGUGGGGAAUAUUGCGCAAUGGAGGAAACCCUGACGCAGCAACGCCGCGUGAAGGAUGAAGGUUUUCGGAUUGUAAACUUCUUUGAUGAGGGACGAAUAAAUGACGGUACCUCAAAAACAAGCCACGGCUAACUACGUGCCAGCAGCCGCAGUAA
Molecule: ribosomal RNA, 478 nt
Filed under: uncultured bacterium
Lineage: Bacteria
Description: partial 16S ribosomal RNA
Rfam family: Bacterial small subunit ribosomal RNA
Source: RNAcentral